This 490-nucleotide ribosomal RNA is filed under the name uncultured bacterium. RNAcentral's name for it is "partial 16S ribosomal RNA". It matches the Rfam family "Bacterial small subunit ribosomal RNA", at positions 30 to 507 of the family's 1533-position model. The record is from RNAcentral.
AUUGAACGCUGGCGGCAGGCCUAACACAUGCAAGUCGAACGGUAACAGGAAGCAGCUUGCUGCUUUGCUGACGAGUGGCGGACGGGUGAGUAAUGUCUGGGAAACUGCCUGAUGGAGGGGGAUAACUACUGGAAACGGUAGCUAAUACCGCAUAACGUCGCAAGACCAAAGAGGGGGACCUUCGGGCCUCUUGCCAUCGGAUGUGCCCAGAUGGGAUUAGCUAGUAGGUGGGGUAACGGCUCACCUAGGCGACGAUCCCUAGCUGGUCUGAGAGGAUGACCAGCCACACUGGAACUGAGACACGGUCCAGACUCCUACGGGAGGCAGCAGUGGGGAAUAUUGCACAAUGGGCGCAAGCCUGAUGCAGCCAUGCCGCGUGUAUGAAGAAGGCCUUCGGGUCGUAAAGUACUUUCAGCGGGGAGGAAGGGAGUAAAGUUAAUACCUUUGCUCAUUGACGUUACCCGCAGAAGAAGCACCGGCUAACUCCGUG